AAAUCCCACGGCUCAACCGUGGGGCUUGCUGGGGAUACUGCGGGCCUUGGGACCGGGAGAGGCGGGGGGUACCCCUGGGGUAGGGGUGAAAUCCUAUAAUCCCAGGGGGACCGCCAGUGGCGAAGGCGCCCCGCUGGAACGGGUCCGACGGUGAGGGACGAAGGCCAGGGGAGCGAACCGGAUUAGAUACCCGGGUAGUCCUGGCUGUAAAGGAUGCGGGCUAGGUGUCGGGCGAGCUUCGAGCUCGCCCGGUGCCGGAGGGAAGCCGUUAAGCCCGCCGCCUGGGGAGUACGGCCGCAAGGCUGAAACUUAAAGGAAUUGGCGGGGGAGCACUACAAGGGGUGGAGCGUGCGGUUUAAUUGGAUUCAACGCCGGGAACCUCACCGGGGGCGACGGCAGGAUGAAGGCCAGGCUGAAGGUCUUGCCGGACGCGCCGAGAGGAGGUGCAUGGCCGCCGUCAGCUCGUACCGUGAGGCGUCCACUUAAGUGUGGUAACGAGCGAGACCCGCGCCCCCAGUUGCCAGUCCUCCCCGCUGGGGAGGAGGCACUCUGGGGGGCCCGCCGGCGAUAAGCCGGAGGAAGGAGCGGGCGACGGUAGGUCAGUAUGCCCCGAAACCCCCGGGCUACACGCGCGCUACAAUGGGCGGGACAAUGGGAUCCGACCCCGAAAGGGGAAGGGAAUCCCCUAAACCCGCCCUCAGUUCGGAUCGCGGGCUGCAACUCGCCCGCGUGAAGCUGGAAUCCCUAGUACCCGCGUGUCAUCAUCGCGCGGCGAAUACGUCCCUGCUCCUUGCACACACCGCCCGUCACUCCACCCGAGCGGGGUCCGGGUGAGGCUCGGUCUCCCUUCGGGGAGGCCGGGUCGAGCCCGGGCUCCGUGAGGGGGGAGAAGUCGUAACAAGGUAGCCGUAGGGGAACCUACGGCUCGAUCACCUCCU
Molecule: ribosomal RNA, 938 nt
Filed under: uncultured Thermococcales archaeon
Lineage: Archaea; Methanobacteriati; Methanobacteriota; Thermococci; Thermococcales
Description: bacterial SSU rRNA
Rfam family: Archaeal small subunit ribosomal RNA
Source: RNAcentral